AGAGUUUGAUCCUGGCUCAGGAUGAACGCUGGCGGCGUGCUUAACACAUGCAAGUCGAACGGGAAACCUUUUAUUGAAGCUUCGGCAGAUUUAGAUUGUUUCUAGUGGCGGACGGGUGAGUAACGCGUGGGUAACCUGCCUUAUACAGGGGGAUAACAGUCAGAAAUGACUGCUAAUACCGCAUAAGCGCACAGAGCUGCAUGGCUCGGUGUGAAAAACUCCGGUGGUAUAAGAUGGACCCGCGUUGGAUUAGCUAGUUGGUGAGGUAACGGCCCACCAAGGCGACGAUCCAUAGCCGGCCUGAGAGGGUGAACGGCCACAUUGGGACUGAGACACGGCCCAGACUCCUACGGGAGGCAGCAGUGGGGAAUAUUGCACAAUGGGGGAAACCCUGGUGCAGCGACGCCGCGUGAAGGAAGAAGUAUCUCGGUAUGUAAACUUCUAUCAGCAGGGAAGAAAAUGACGGUACCUGACUAAGAAGCCCCGGCUAACUACGUGCCAGCAGCCGCGGUAAAACGUAGGUCACAAGCGUUGUCCGGAAUUACUGGGUGUAAAGGGAGCGCAGGCGGGAAGACAAGUUGGAAGUGAAAUCCAUGGGCUUAACCCAUGAACUGCUUUCAAAACUGUUUUUCUUGAGUAGUGCAGAGGUAGGCGGAAUUCCCGGUGUAGCGGUGGAAUGCGUAGAUAUCGGGAGGAACACCAGUGGCGAAGGCGGCCUACUGGGCACCAACUGACGCUGAGGCUCGAAAGUGUGGGUAGCAAACAGGAUUAGAUACCCUGGUAGUCCACACCGUAAACGAUGAUUACUAGGUGUUGGAGGAUUGACCCCUUCAGUGCCGCAGUUAACACAAUAAGUAAUCCACCUGGGGAGUACGACCGCAAGGUUGAAACUCAAAGGAAUUGACGGGGGCCCGCACAAGCAGUGGAGUAUGUGGUUUAAUUCGACGCAACGCGAAGAACCUUACCAAGUCUUGACAUCCUGUGACAGACGUAGAAAUACGUUCUUCCUUCGGGACACAGAGACAGGUGGUGCAUGGUUGUCGUCAACUCGUGUCGUGAGAUGUUGGGUUAAGUCCCGCAACGAGCGCAACCCUUAUGGUCAGUUACUACGCAAGAGGACUCUGGCCAGACUGCCGUUGACAAAACGGAGGAAGGUGGGGAUGACGUCAAAUCAUCAUGCCCUUUAUGACUUGGGCUACACACGUACUACAAUGGCGUUAAACAAAGAGAAGCAAGACCGCGAGGUGGAGCAAAACUCAGAAACAACGUCCCAGUUCGGACUGCAGGCUGCAACUCGCCUGCACGAAGUCGGAAUUGCUAGUAAUCGUGGAUCAGCAUGCCACGGUGAAUACGUUCCCGGGCCUUGUACACACCGCCCGUCACACCAUGAGAGCCGGGGGGACCCGAAGUCGGUAGUCUAACCGCAAGGAGGACGCCGCCGAAGGUAAAACUGGUGAUUGGGGUGAAGUCGUAACAAGGU
RNAcentral lists this ribosomal RNA (1480 nucleotides) under metagenome. Its description in RNAcentral is "bacterial SSU rRNA". It matches the Rfam family "Bacterial small subunit ribosomal RNA". The record is from RNAcentral.